GCUGAUGUGGCUCAGGGGUAGAGCAGCGCACUCGUAAUGCGCAGGUCGCCGGUUCAAAUCCGGCCAUCAGCUCCA
Molecule: transfer RNA, 75 nt
Filed under: Thermoanaerobacterales bacterium
Lineage: Bacteria; Bacillati; Bacillota; Clostridia; Thermoanaerobacterales
Also listed under: 1 other name
Description: tRNA-Thr
Rfam family: tRNA
About the family: Transfer RNA (tRNA) molecules are approximately 80 nucleotides in length. Their secondary structure includes four short double-helical elements and three loops (D, anti-codon, and T loops).
Source: RNAcentral